UACGGAGGGUGCAAGCGUUAUCCGGAUUUACUGGGUUUAAAGGGUGCGUAGGUGGGUCUGUAAGUCAGUGGUGAAAUCUCCGGGCUUAACUCGGAAAUUGCCAUUGAUACUAUAGGUCUUGAAUCAUCUGGAGGUAAGCGGAAUAUGUCAUGUAGCGGUGAAAUGCUUAGAUAUGACAUAGAACACCAAUUGCGAAGGCAGCUUACUACGGAUGUAUUGACACUGAGGCACGAAAGCGUGGGGAGCAAACAGG
RNAcentral lists this ribosomal RNA (253 nucleotides) under uncultured bacterium. RNAcentral's name for it is "partial 16S ribosomal RNA". It matches the Rfam family "Bacterial small subunit ribosomal RNA", at positions 524 to 776 of the family's 1533-position model. The record is from RNAcentral.